CUCUCUGGCUCUCCUCACAGAGUAUGUACAGGAUUUGGGUCCCUGUUUGAACCCGGAGCUCUUUAUCUGCAAUCAGAAGUUCCAGUGGGCUGACUACAUGUGGGAAAGACCAUGUGAUCUGAGUUUAUGUAACAGGCCCUGUGCAACAGCCAAAGGGUUGAGGGGAAGUCAGCAAAAGAGAACCCAGCAUGGACCUGGCAGCCAAGGCACUGGAAGAAGUCACUUCAUGGGACUUAACAGUUUCAUCACAGAUAAUUCCCAAGGAACCCAGGAGGAACUUACAGCUGGUCCAUUAUGAUAUGUGUGAAAUCUUCAGAUCAUCAUAAUCAGGGGAAGAAAAAAGAAACAAGAUCCCUGAAUGAAGAAGAACCCAUUUUACAGAACACAGGACAGAUCUUGGAGGACAGUGGAUGUAGUAAGUUGUAUUAAUGUAAUUAAACAUUAAUUCUGGGUUCUGGGUACAUGGCUCAGUCUAAGAGUCCUUGCUACACAAGCAUGAUGAUCUGAGUUUGAAUUCACAGAGUUCAUGUAAAAAGCCAUGUAUGGCCACACAAACUUGUAACUCUAGUGCUGUCUAGGAUAGAGAUGAAAAGAUUGUUUAGGCUUCCAGCCCAGUUCCAAGUUCAGUAAAGAACCCUGUCUUUAGAGCUCCACAAGAAGACCAAUACAGCCAAAAAAUCUGGGCCCAGGGACCCAGCAGAAACCAACCAAGGACCAUGCAUGGAGAGAACCUAGACACCUUGCUCAGAUGUAGCCCAUAGGCAGCUCAGUCUUCAUGUGGGUUCCCUAGUAAGGGGAGCAGGGGCUAUCUCUGACAUGAACUCAAUUACCUGCUCUUUUAUCAUUUCCUCAAGGUGGAGUGACCUUGCCUGCUCACAGAGGAAGAGGAUCCAAGCAGUCCUGAUGAGACUUAAUAGGCUAGAGCCAAAAGGCAAGGGAGGAAGACUUCCCCUUUCAGUGGACUAGGGGAGGGGGUGGGGGAAUAGGAAGGGAGAGGAAGAAGA
RNAcentral lists this long non-coding RNA (1004 nucleotides) under Meriones unguiculatus (Mongolian gerbil). RNAcentral's name for it is "lncRNA (ENSMUGG00000002922.1)". Lineage: Eukaryota; Metazoa; Chordata; Mammalia; Rodentia; Muridae. The record is from RNAcentral.